GAUCUGUAGCUCAGCUGGAUAGAGCAACGGACUUCUAAUCCGUAGGUCGGGGGUUCGAAUCCCUCCAGGU
This 70-nucleotide transfer RNA is filed under the name human gut metagenome. It matches the Rfam family "tRNA". From Rfam's summary of the family: Transfer RNA (tRNA) molecules are approximately 80 nucleotides in length. The record is from RNAcentral.